AGCAACUGCAGGAGGCACAGGAGAAUGUCCGCUUCCUCUCAUGUGAGGUGGAGGAGAUGAGGACACUGGUCCACACGCUGAAGCUGACGGAGAGCUCCCUGACAGAGGAGGUGGAGGAGCUGCAGGAAGAGAACCGGAGACUGUGUCAGAGGCUCAGCUACACCCUCAGAGAGAUCAACCACCACUCUGGUUCUGCUGAGCUGGACUCUAAACUCAGUCCCGGGUCCAGCUCAGCAGACCCAGGACCCAGCCUGGAUAACCCAUCGCCAAACUCCCCUGCCCUUGAUCAAGCAAGUCCUUCCUCUGUGGACAAUUUUGGCCCGGUGAAGCUGACCCCAGGCCUGUCAUUGCGAGACACACCUAUCUCAGCCCACCGAUAUGGAACAGCCCCGAGGUCCCAGGAAGACUCCAUUUUGCCUCUGCCCCAGCCGGACCUCCUGAACCUCUCAGGCCACCUUCGUGAGAACCCGGGUCUCCUAGCACCAGGGACAAAGAGCAGUGAGCCAGCAGAGAUGAGUCGUGGGGAUUGGUGUCCUGAUCCCGGGGGUUUGACUUCUCUCAACCUGGACAAAGGGACGAGCGAGGAGACCGAGGCCCUGAGAGGAGCUUACCUGGACAUGGGUGGUGAGAUGGACUCAAUCCACGACCACAGGGACCUGCUGGAGGGCACUCAACAACACACACAGGAUGAUCUGCACAGGGUGACCGAGGAGAACACCCGACUGAUAUGGAAACUCAGGGAACUGGGAGGAACGGAAGCCUGCGAGAUGGAGCAAGGGUCCUCGCCUACAGACCAGAAGAGCAAGACAGGAAAUGUACAAGAAAACAGGGUGACGACUCAAAACCGAAUACCUUCAGAAAGCAGAGAGCCUAAUAGCACUCCAACCCAGGAUCAUAAUAUCCUAGCCUUAACCCAGGAUGACCUUUCUCUGUACACCUUAACCCAGGAAGAGCUGGUUCUUGCCUUGAACCAGGAGAAUCGGGCCCUGGGCAGGCGUAUCCAGGAGCUCUUGGCACAUAUAGAGAGCCAGGAAGGGGAGAGUGAACGGGAGCUGGCCCAGCUCAGGCAACAGGUGUCCCUGCUUGAGAAAGAGAGCCACAGCCUGGAGCAGGAGAAUCAGGAGCAGGGAAGUCUUAUUACGGAGUUGACCAGGAAGACUGAGGAUGACCUCAACACUAUCAUGGAGCUGCGGCAGAGAUUGUCAGAGAGCGGUCAGCGAGGCCUCAUACAGGAUAACCAGGGUUCCGUCCAGUCGGAGUGCUGUCAACAGAGCGAGCAUACUGUCCCGUCAAAGUACGCUAAACAGGGUCAAGACACUUCAGGGUUUGCGAACAGUCUACAGGGCGAUCUCACAGCAGGGUCGGCGAACAGUGAAGAACUGCUGGUUGACCACACAGUCAGGUCAGUGUGUGGUUCACAGAAAGACCGUUUGACCUCUGAGUCCAUGGGCAGGCUCAGAGAGGAGAGAGACGACCUGAUUGGGUCUGUCAGGAGUCUCAAAGAGGAAAGAGAGCAGGUAGCCUUGUCAAUUAGUAGCCAGACAGAGGAGAAACACCAGCUGACACGCUCACUGUGGCUUCUGAAAGAAGAACGAGACCAGGUCAAUCAGUUACUCAGCAGUUUAAAAGAGGAGAAAGAACAGCUUUCAAAGUCUCUAUGCAGUCUGAAAGAUGAGACGGACAAGAUGAAACGGUCUUUGUGUGGUUUAAAAGAGGAGAGAGACCUGCUAGUUCAGUCAAUGUCAGUUUUCCAGGAGGAAAAAGACAAGCUCUCACAGUCUCUCUGCACUCAAAAAGAUGGUAGAGAACUUAACGAGUCACUUUACCGCCUGAAGAAAGAGAGAGACCAGUUGAAGUCAAUGUGUAGUUUAAAAGAAGAGAGAGAACCAAGAACACAGCCCCUCCAUAAUCUAGAGCAGGAAAGAGACAAGCUGUCAUCUCUCUGCCAUCAAAAAGACAUUAGCGCUCUAAAACAAGACAGAGAGCAGACAGUUCAGUCAAUAGAUGUUCUAAGGGAACAGAGAGAACAGUUGAGGGAGGAGAGGGACCAGAUGCAAAUGGACAUCGCUGCCUUAAGGAAUCAGCUACUGUUACCGGGGUGGAGUCACAACCAGCAGCUGUCCGGGAACCCCAUUGGCAUGGCAACACACAUAGAAGGUGUGGCUUCAGAGAGCAGGGGUGCAGUGCCAAACAUGGACGUUGAUGACGAAGUCAGUCAGAGAGUUCCUGCCUUGGCCUACUCCUGCACGACCACUGACCUGUCUCCGUCUGCUCAGGACCAGUUGGGAGACAAGAGGACAGAUGUGGAGACCAAUAAUCUGGUGAAGGAGAUGGAGUUGUUGGGGGUAGAACUCAGAAGGUCCAGAGAAGACCUGGAGAAGGCCAAAUCAGAGGCUCAGGAAUGGUCCCGGGAGCUGGGUGUGUCUGAGGUAAGACGAGAGGAAGCUGAGAAGAAAGCACUACAGGCAGCCAGUAAAUUAAAGAAGUUGAGGGAGGAAACCGAGGAGAUUGAGAGGGAGAACCACACACUGAGAGCAGAGGUAUCCCAUUCUCUCUACUGUUAUGGAAAUUCUUGAACUAAUGUAUUUCAAGAGUUCCUAUCGUUG
Esox lucius (northern pike) is the source of this 2606-nucleotide long non-coding RNA. The record is from Ensembl. NCBI's taxonomy places the organism in Eukaryota, Metazoa, Chordata, Actinopteri, Esociformes, Esocidae.